GACGAACGCUGGCGGCGUGCUUAACACAUGCAAGUCGAACGGAAAGGCCCUGCUUUUGUGGGGUGCUCGAGUGGCGAACGGGUGAGUAACACGUGAGUAACCUGCCCUUGACUUUGGGAUAACUUCAGGAAACUGGGGCUAAUACCGGAUAGGAGCUCCUGCUGCAUGGUGGGGGUUGGAAAGUUUCGGCGGUUGGGGAUGGACUCGCGGCUUAUCAGCUUGUUGGUGGGGUAGUGGCUUACCAAGGCUUUGACGGGUAGCCGGCCUGAGAGGGUGACCGGCCACAUUGGGACUGAGAUACGGCCCAGACUCCUACGGGAGGCAGCAGUGGGGAAGAUUGCACAAUGGGCGGAAGCCUGAUGCAGCAACGCCGCGUGCGGGAUGACGGCCUGCGGGUUGGAAACCGCUUUCGCCUGUGACGAAGCGUGAGUGACGGUAAUGGGUAAAGAAGCACCGGCUAACUACGUG
RNAcentral lists this ribosomal RNA (468 nucleotides) under uncultured bacterium. Its description in RNAcentral is "partial 16S ribosomal RNA". It matches the Rfam family "Bacterial small subunit ribosomal RNA", at positions 28 to 507 of the family's 1533-position model. The record is from RNAcentral.